AAGAAAGUGGCAGAGUGAUUAUGUAAUUGGCUUGAAACUAAUUUAUGGGGGUUUAAUUCCUUCCUUUCUUG
Molecule: non-coding RNA, 71 nt
Organism: Danionella cerebrum
Lineage: Eukaryota; Metazoa; Chordata; Actinopteri; Cypriniformes; Danionidae
Source: the annotation of a GenBank genome assembly